GGCUCAACCCCGUGAUGGGUCCGAAACUGGAGUUCUUGAGUGUAGGAGAGGAAAGCGGAAUUCCCAGUGUAGCGGUGAAAUGCGUAGAUAUUGGGAGGAACCACCAGUGGCGAAGGCGGCUUUCUGGACUAUAACUGACACUGAGGCUCGAAAGCCAGGGGAGUGAACGGGAUUAGAUACCCCGGUAAUCCUGGCCGUAAACGAUGGGUACUAGGUGUAGGAGGUAUCGACCCCUUCUGUGCCGGAGUUAACGCAAUAAGUACCCCGCCUGGGGAGUACGGUCGCAAGACUGAAACUCAAAGGAAUUGACGGGGGCCCGCACAAGCGGUGGAGUAUGUGGUUUAAUUCGACGCAACGCGAAGAACCUUACCAAGGCUUGACAUUGAUUGACAGACUAAGAAAUUAGUCCUUCUCUUCGGAGACAAGAAGACAGGUGGUGCAUGGUUGUCGUCAGCUCGUGUCGUGAGAUGUUGGGUUAAGUCCCGCAACGAGCGCAACCCCUGUGCUAUGUUGCCAGCAAGUAAAGUUGGGAACUCAUAGCAGACAGCCGUAGAAAUACGGAGGAAGGCGGGGAUGACGUCAAAUCAUCAUGCCCCUUAUGCCUUGGGCUACACACGUACUACAAUGGGCUUUAAUAGAGGGAAGCAAAACUGCGAAGUCGAGCAAAUCCCAAAAACAAGCUCUCAGUUCGGAUUGCAGGCUGAAACCC
This 709-nucleotide ribosomal RNA is filed under the name uncultured bacterium. Its description in RNAcentral is "bacterial SSU rRNA". It matches the Rfam family "Bacterial small subunit ribosomal RNA", at positions 606 to 1313 of the family's 1533-position model. The record is from RNAcentral.